Molecule: ribosomal RNA, 431 nt
Filed under: uncultured bacterium
Lineage: Bacteria
Description: partial 16S ribosomal RNA
Rfam family: Bacterial small subunit ribosomal RNA
Source: RNAcentral
AACGAACGCUGGCGGCAGGCUUAACACAUGCAAGUCGAGCGCCCCGCAAGGGGAGCGGCAGACGGGUGAGUAACGCGUGGGAACGUACCUUUUGGUUCGGAACAACUCCGGGAAACUGGAGCUAAUACCGGAUAAGCCCUAACGGGGAAAGAUUUAUCGCCGAAAGAUCGGCCCGCGUCUGAUUAGCUAGUUGGUGAGGUAACGGCUCACCAAGGCGACGAUCAGUAGCUGGUCUGAGAGGAUGAUCAGCCACACUGGGACUGAGACACGGCCCAGACUCCUACGAGAGGCAGCAGUGGGGAAUAUUGGACAAUGGGCGCAAGCCUGAUCCAGCCAUGCCGCGUGAGUGAUGAAGGCCGUAGGGUUGUAAAGCUCUUUUGUCCGGGAAGAUAAUGACUGUACCGGAAGAAUAAGCCCCGGCUAACUUCGUG